AUAUGUUGCCCACAAACGACCGCACGACCUCUCCCCUCCUCCCCGCACGACCUCUCUCGCCCCCUUCUCCUCGCACGUCUCUCGCCCCCUCCUCCCGCGCCGUUCGCCGCCCCGCCGUUCCUCCCGCACCCUUGCGCUGCCAUUAGCCACAGGAUCCGCCCUGUCGCGCGUGGAGACGCCUCCAGCAGCUGCCGCCGAUGCCGUAACCUCCCCCUGCCUCUACCCCAGGCGCGAGGAACCUACCUCCCGAAGCAACCGGAGCGGCAAAGCGGCGGAUGAAUGGAGAGAUGGCGUCUGUGGCGGCGGGGAAGGAGAUGGCGCGGGCGUCCUACAUCCGGAUCAAGCACGAGGAGGAGCGGCGAGGGCCCGAGGGCCGGGUCUUCUCGGCCACACGCGCGCCGAUGUCGCCGCACGUCGACCAGAUCCUCGCCGGGCGCGCCUCCUUCGCCGACCUUGCUGCACAGCACUCCGGCUGCUCCUUCGCCCGCCGCGGCGGCAACCUAGGUAUGCCUCCACUUGCCCCACCUACGCGCUUAGCAGGCUUUCAUAUAGGGUCUCCGAUCAUGGCGAACCGGAAGCACCAGCCCACGAAGAGCUCGACAGCGUGAGGUCCUCUCCAGCCAGCAGUAGGUGACCAGGCCGAGAUCCACCACCGAGCCAAGCACUUCUCCGUUCUUUUUCUUCCUCUGUUACACAACCAAAACAAUUUUCUUGAGAACAAUCGUAUCUCCAGCCAGCAGUACAUGAACCUACAGCACAAAUAAUGGAGGAGCGAGCGACUACAAUAGAGGAUGGACCUGUGGUUGCUUUCCAGCUCUUUUCUUCAAAACAGUCUGAGAAAGAGUGCAAAGGAAAUUGGACCAUAGGCAUAGGCAACGGGAAAUUGCUCAGGAAUAUCCCCAUCUUAUGCUUAUUGCUUUGAUAUAGAGUGACCUAUAAAAGGUUCAAAACAACCAGUGAGAUGCUUCUCUGGAUGUAGAGCUCAUUGACAUACGCCUAAAAAAAUAAAAUUAUAUUUUUUACACUAUUAUUCUCAAUUGUAUGGUUGAACAUUCAUUACCUUGUGGUUCGUACUUGGUCCCAGCCUCCCAAGCUUAAAUCCGAAGUUGUUCUGUAUAGGGGAGUGAAUUGUAUGAGUGUGUUUCCAGGCUUAAAUCUGAAAUUGUUGUGUAUACCAUAUGUGCAUGCGGUGCGUAUGGUAGAACCAAUUGAUUUGCAGAAGAUGACAUGAACCAGAAGGGUAAUCAGUGCCGCCAACGGAAGGCUCGGCAGUGCUGAUCACCAGAGCUAGACUACUGGCAGUGCCAUCCAAAUCCUCGGUGACGCUCAAGGGUGACCAUAGUAGCAUAUAUUCAGCCCAAAUACAGUGCUGUCAUCAAACGCCGUCUGCAAUUUUCUAGCUCCAGGAAUUUCGACCGUCCUACAAGAAGAAUUAGUUGAGAAGGUCGGUCUAUGCUUCUUCAAAGGCUGAGUAUAUACUCUUUGUUGUUAAUAGUAGUGAUAGUUACUAUUAUUGAAUUGCUAAGGUGACAAACUGACAGUUACUGCUUCAUGAGCUUACUCUCAGGUAAUACCAAUAAUCUCAAGAUUUACUGUCAUGUUGAAUGUUACUUCUGUACCAAAUAAGGCCUCUGAAAUAUGUUAAAGUAUCUUCCAGUUUGCACAAGUUAGCCUACAUAGGAUGACACUCAAAACUGUAUUGAAAAACCUAUGUGUUCUUAUGUUUUAGAUCAUGACACCGUGGUAAAUUAAGCUUUAAUGAAUUCAAAUGUAGGUUCUGAAGAAUGAAUUGAGAAUCGUGCUACCUUCCGGAUCCACACAUAUUUUGCCUGAACACAUUUAUUCAGAUGUUUGUUUCUUCACAAUACUUUAGCUCUGUAGAUUAUGAUGCUUCAGCUAUUCUGCAAGCCUGCAAUUGUUGAACACGAGAAUAAAAUGGGUUUAAUCAAAUAAAAGGUGCGAGGUACUCCCUCCGUCCGAAAAUACUUGUCAUCAAAAUGGAUAAAAGAGGAUGUAUCUAGAUGUAUUUUAGUUCUAGAUACAUCUCCUUUUCUCCAUUUUGAUGACAAGUAUUUUCGGACGGAGGGAGUAUGUAUGUUCCACCAAGUCCAACAUUUGCAGGCAACAACAAAUAACACAAUACUCCAGAGUAUAUCUUAAUGCAGCUGGUGUAGGGGUUAUUGAUAGGAUUAUCAGCUACUCCAGUGUUGUCAUGUUUCUUGCUUCUUACAUAUUUCUCCUUUUGAUUGUUUUUAUGUUUGAUCAAAAAGUUUCAUACCGAAUAUUAAGAAAUUUGUUUACAUCUACGGUUGUGAUUGCAUCUGCUUGCAGAACGGUCAAUUUUACAUUAUCUAUAGAAGGCUGUGUACAUGAGAGGCGUGGCAUGCUAUUGGAAAUUAUAACAUACUGUAUAUGGCUUCUAAGCAAUUUGAAAGUUUAGGACACAAUAGGAAGUCAUAUUACGACGGUUUCCGAUUAUUGACAAAUCUCUAUUUUUCGAGGGCAGCAAAAUUAUUUUCUAGAACUGAUAGUUUCUUCAGCAAUUUUUUAGUUUGCUUCCUGUUACUCUAUAACUGAAUAUGAAUAUGUAGUUAGCUUAUUUUUCUUUUAUGUGAUAUGUGAGUAAAUAGCAGUUAGCUGCAUGGUUUACUAUGAUUUCAAGCUCAACUUUUGUGUUAUCUAGCUGCAGUGCUAGGACUGGUUGUUGCCCAAAGAGAUGAUAUGACCAUCAGUUUAUGGUCUUUUUGAGCUUGAUGUCUUCUGUAUUGGAGAAAUGAAGUCUUCGGCAUGUACACGGUGUAAACAAUCAUUGGAAAAGGCGAGAUGAAGAUAAGAGGAGCAUAUAGAAGUUUCUGAUUUGUAUAGGAGGCCUUGUUGAUGAGACUCAGAAUGGAUGCAUAAUGGUCCUGGCUACUGGCGAGCUUGAAGCAAGUGGUGCGUGUUGUGACUCCCAUUGUGGCGCUGUAGUCAACUCCAUCAGUUCAAAUUUUGAAGAUAACAUGUAGCCUGAAUCCAAGAGGGAACAAAUUCAGUUGUUCCAAGACUGCGUUCUGUUUUGCAUAUUUUGUUGACAGUUUGCAUCUCUGCCAUGUUCAUCUUGGAUUAUGAUUUCUUUUUCAUCUGCUCCCACUUAUAUAUGUAUUAUAAGUCCUUCGAAGUACACAGAAUAAAUCAGACAUUCUGAAAUCUUUAGUAUACAACUGCAAUUUCAUCUUGGAUUAUGAUUUCUUUUUCGUCUGCUCCAACUUUGCAUACAUCCUCAGAAGAUAAAUGUGGGGUUCGUAUUGAACUUCACCUUUAGAGAUGCAGGGAUUAUCAGCACUACAGAAUUCAAUACACAUGAAUUUAAUGUGUUGAUUUGGUUGAGACGUGCAUUGCAC
Molecule: long non-coding RNA, 3380 nt
Organism: Triticum aestivum (bread wheat)
Lineage: Eukaryota; Viridiplantae; Streptophyta; Magnoliopsida; Poales; Poaceae
Exons: 3
Source: RefSeq, a predicted model, not a curated record